UCGUAGGCCACCGUGUGGACUUCUGCUCAU
RNAcentral lists this non-coding RNA (30 nucleotides) under Rattus norvegicus (Norway rat). Lineage: Eukaryota; Metazoa; Chordata; Mammalia; Rodentia; Muridae. The record is from RNAcentral.